GACGAACGCUGGCGGCGUGCUUAACACAUGCAAGUCGAACGGAAAGGCCCUGCUUUUGUGGGGUGCUCGAGUGGCGAACGGGUGAGUAACACGUGAGUAACCUGCCCUUGACUUUGGGAUAACUUCAGGAAACUGGGGCUAAUACCGGAUAGGAGCUCCUGCUGCAUGGUGGGGGUUGGAAAGUUUCGGCGGUUGGGGAUGGACUCGCGGCUUAUCAGCUUGUUGGUGGGGUAGUGGCUUACCAAGGCUUUGACGGGUAGCCGGCCUGAGAGGGUGACCGGCGACAUUGGGACUGAGGGACGGCCCAGACUCCUACGGGAGGCAGCGGUGGGGAAUAUGGCACAAUGGGGGGAAGCCUGAUGCGGCGACGCCGCGUGCGGGAUGACGGCCUUCGGGUUGUAAACCGCUUUCGCCUGUGACGAAGCGUGAGUGACGGUAAUGGGUAAAGAAGCACCGGCUAACUACGUG
RNAcentral lists this ribosomal RNA (468 nucleotides) under uncultured bacterium. RNAcentral's name for it is "partial 16S ribosomal RNA". It matches the Rfam family "Bacterial small subunit ribosomal RNA", at positions 28 to 507 of the family's 1533-position model. The record is from RNAcentral.